UACGUAGGGGGCUAGCGUUGUCCGGAUUUAUUGGGCGUAAAGCGCACGUAGGCGGAUUGCUAAGUCAGGGGUGAAAUCCUGGAGCUCAACUCCAGAACUGCCUUUGAUACUGGCGAUCUCGAGUCCGGGAGAGGUGAGUGGAACUGCGAGUGUAGAGGUGAAAUUCGUAGAUAUUCGCAAGAACACCAGUGGCGAAGGCGGCUCACUGGCCCGGUACUGACGCUGAGGUGCGAAAGCGUGGGGAGCAAACAGG
RNAcentral lists this ribosomal RNA (253 nucleotides) under uncultured bacterium. RNAcentral's name for it is "partial 16S ribosomal RNA". It matches the Rfam family "Bacterial small subunit ribosomal RNA", at positions 524 to 776 of the family's 1533-position model. The record is from RNAcentral.